UACGUAGGGGGCAAGCGUUGUCCGGAAUCAUUGGGCGUAAAGCGCGUGUAGGCGGCUCGGUAAGUCUGCUGUGAAAGUCCAGGGCUCAACCCUGGGAUGCCGGUGGAUACUGUCGAGCUCGAGUACGGAAGAGGCGAGUGGAAUUCCUGGUGUAGCGGUGAAAUGCGCAGAUAUCAGGAGGAACACCUAUUGCGAAGGCAGCUCGCUGGGACGUAACUGACGCUGAGACGCGAAAGCGUGGGGAGCAAACAGG
Molecule: ribosomal RNA, 253 nt
Filed under: uncultured bacterium
Lineage: Bacteria
Description: partial 16S ribosomal RNA
Rfam family: Bacterial small subunit ribosomal RNA
Source: RNAcentral